Molecule: long non-coding RNA, 346 nt
Filed under: Salvia miltiorrhiza (redroot sage)
Lineage: Eukaryota; Viridiplantae; Streptophyta; Magnoliopsida; Lamiales; Lamiaceae
Description: long non-coding RNA (SMIL_LNC010745)
Source: RNAcentral
GAAAAGCUCUUAAACUGUAUAUUCAAAAUAAUGCCCACCUGAAGACCUUACUCAAAAUCUCCCGUCAAAGUGGAGUUACUUACUUCCUUGCUCUUCUCGUGUCUUCAGGGAUCAUCAUCAUCAUCGAAAGUUCAUGUCAUAAAAUGAAUCUCGAUUAGAACUCAUUGACUAAUUCUCAGGCUUUAUCUCAUACUCUAUCUCAUAUUCUAUCCCUUUACUCAACUCUAUAUAAACUCUCCACUCAUCUCACAUCCUCAAGUUCAAGGAUAGGUUUCAAGAAAAUCAUGGCUCUAAGUCUCGAUUUAUCUCUCAUAUAAGGUUCGUCUAAUCUCAUUCAAACACAUAG